AUGCAGUGGGCUGUGAGCACGGUGGCCAAUCGGGGUUUUCUCCUGCAGGCAUUCCCUCCUGCCUUGUGUCAUCUGCUUAGUUGUGCACAGACCGAGAUACGUGGUGGUGACCCGGUGAAGCUGAUGCAGAGUCUAGUGGUUGGAGACACUGCAGAGCUGAGGCCAAACCAGAGGACACUGUUGCUGUUUACCAAUGAGGCUGGAGGCACCUUAGAUGACUUGAUUGUGACCAGCACUUCUGAGGGGCACCUACAUGUGAUGUCCAACACUGGCUGCUGGGAAAAAGACUUGGCCUUCAUGCAGGACAAGGUCAGAGAACUUUAGAGGCAGGGCAGAGAUGUGGGCCUGGAGGUAGUGGAUACUGCCCUGCUAGCCCUGAAAGGGCCCCCUGUGGCCCAGGUGCUACAGGCCAGCACGGCAGCUGACCUGAGGAAACUGCCUUCAUGACUAGUGCUGUGAUGGAGGUGUUUGACGUGUCUGGCCGCCACCUUACACACUGUGGCUGCACAGGAGAGAAUGGUGUGGACAUCUUGGUGCCAGCAGCGGGGGCAGUUCACCCCGCAUCAGCUCUUCUGGAAAACCCAGAGGCAAAGCUGGCAGUGCUGGCAGCUUGCGCCUGGAGGCAGGCCUCCGGCUGUACAGGAGUGACACUGAUGAACACACUACCCCUGUGGAGGGCAGCCUCAGUUGGACAUUGGGGAAGUGCCACUGAGCUGCUCUCGACUUCCCUGGAGCCAAGGUCAUUGUUCCCCAGCUGAAGGGAAAGUGCAGUGGAGGCGUGUGGGGUUGAUGUGUGAGGGGGCCCUGAUGCAGGCACACAGUCCCACCUGAGCAUGGAGGGCCCAUGAUUGGUACUGUGACCAGUGGCUGUCCCUUGCCCUACCUGAAGAAGACUGUGGCAAUGAGUUACAUGCCCUGCCAGUAGUCAGCCAGGGAUAAUGCUGCUGGUAGAGGUGCGGCAGAAGCAGCAGAUGGGCGCAGUCAGCAAGAUGCCCUUUGCGCCCAUGAACUGCUCUACCCUCAUGUGA
RNAcentral lists this long non-coding RNA (1028 nucleotides) under Homo sapiens (human). Its description in RNAcentral is "non-protein coding lnc-COPS4-2:1". Lineage: Eukaryota; Metazoa; Chordata; Mammalia; Primates; Hominidae. The record is from RNAcentral.